This 386-nucleotide long non-coding RNA is filed under the name Lathyrus oleraceus (garden pea). RNAcentral's name for it is "Pisum sativum (pea) long non-coding RNA (PSAT_LNC039117)". Lineage: Eukaryota; Viridiplantae; Streptophyta; Magnoliopsida; Fabales; Fabaceae. The record is from RNAcentral.
GAAAUUGCACAUUUGUGAAGAUACACGUUUGACAACUUGCAUACAACUUACAUUGGAGAGGAUUUUUUAUCCCCACUAUCAACGUGACACGUGGCAUUAUAUCAUUGGAAGAAAAAGAUUUUAUUUUCCUUACUGGUGACAGCUAGCACUAAUACCUCUCUCCAAUCCCGACGGUUAGAGGAGAAAAAAUAAAUAAAAAAGAAAAAGAGGAAACGGUGGACUCGGUUUUUCAUACUCCUCAAUCUCACCCUCUCUGCAAAAAAAGAAAAGGACAAAAAGAAAAAGAAAAGUUUUUCCUCUUCUUCUACACAGCAGAUCCCCACACUCCUCUUCUUCUCUCACCUUAAACUAACACCCUCCUUCCUCUUCACAUUCCGCAAAUCGCC